Molecule: ribosomal RNA, 480 nt
Filed under: uncultured bacterium
Lineage: Bacteria
Description: partial 16S ribosomal RNA
Rfam family: Bacterial small subunit ribosomal RNA
Source: RNAcentral
AUUGAACGCUGGCGGAAUGCUUUACACAUGCAAGUCGAACGGUAGAGGGGGCAACCCCUUGAGAGUGGCGAACGGGUGAGUAAUAUAUCGGAACGUGCCCAGUCGUGGGGGAUAACGUAGCGAAAGUUACGCUAAUACCGCAUACGAUCUAAGGAUGAAAGCGGGGGAUCGCAAGACCUCGCGCGACUGGAGCGGCCGAUAUCAGAUUAGGUAGUUGGUAGGGUAAAGGCCUACCAAGCCAACGAUCUGUAGCUGGUCUGAGAGGACGACCAGCCACACUGGAACUGAGACACGGUCCAGACUCCUACGGGAGGCAGCAGUGGGGAAUUUUGGACAAUGGGCGAAAGCCUGAUCCAGCCAUUCCGCGUGCAGGAUGAAGGCCCUCGGGCUGUAAACUGCUUUUGUACAGAACGAAAAGGUUUCUAUUAAUACUAGGAGCUCAUGACGGUACUGUAAGAAUAAGCACCGGCUAACUACGUG